CAGUCGCCACGGUAAUACGUAGGUGGCAAGCGUUGUCCGGAAUUAUUGGGCGUAAAGGGCUCGCAGGCGGUUUCUUAAGUCUGAUGUGAAAGCCCCCGGCUCAACCGGGGAGGGUCAUUGGAAACUGGGAAACUUGAGUGCAGAAGAGGAGAGUGGAAUUCCACGUGUAGCGGUGAAAUGCGUAGAGAUGUGGAGGAACACCAGUGGCGAAGGCGACUCUCUGGUCUGUAACUGACGCUUAGGAGCGAAAGCGUGGGGAGCGAACAGGAUUAGAUACCCCGGUAGUCCCUGUCUCUUAUAC
This 301-nucleotide ribosomal RNA is filed under the name uncultured bacterium. Its description in RNAcentral is "partial 16S ribosomal RNA". It matches the Rfam family "Bacterial small subunit ribosomal RNA", at positions 509 to 807 of the family's 1533-position model. The record is from RNAcentral.